Non-coding RNA from Rattus norvegicus (Norway rat), 211 nucleotides. The record is from Rfam. NCBI's taxonomy places the organism in Eukaryota, Metazoa, Chordata, Mammalia, Rodentia, Muridae.
AAAAACGCUUUUACGAGGUAUCAGCACUUUUCUUUCAUUGGGGGGAAGGCGUGAGGAAAGUACCAAACAGCAGCAGACUUUUAAACUUUAAACAGACAGGUCUGAGAGCCUGAACUCUCAUUUUUCCUUUGACUUCAGCCUCCAAGGAGUUCCACCAACUUUGGCGCGCCGGCUUCACUUUCAUUAAGUGAAAGAGAGGUGCCCAGACAUG